RNAcentral lists this ribosomal RNA (1288 nucleotides) under uncultured bacterium. Its description in RNAcentral is "bacterial SSU rRNA". It matches the Rfam family "Bacterial small subunit ribosomal RNA", at positions 90 to 1399 of the family's 1533-position model. The record is from RNAcentral.
ACUGAGUGGCGGACGGGUGAGUAGCCCUGGGGUGACUUGCCCUGUACGGGGGGACCUGCUUUUGAAAUGACUGCUCAUACCCCAUAAUCGCGCAUGCACCGACAUGGAAUCUGUGCGAAUACACUCCGGAGGCACAGGAUGGGCUCGCGUCUGAUUAGUUAGUUGGCGAGGUAACGGCCCACCAAGACGACGAUCAGUAGCCGGCUUGAGAGAGUGAACGGCCACAUUGGGACUGAGACACGGCCCAAACUCCUACGGGAGGCAGCAGUGGGGAAUAUUGCACAAUGGGGGAAACCCUGAUGCAGCAACGCCGCGUGAGUGAAGAAGUAUUUCGGUAUGUAAAGUUCUAUCAGCAGGGAAGAAAAUGACGGUACCUGACUAAGAAGCCCCGGCUAACUACGUGCCAGCAGCCGCGGUAAUACGUAGGGGGCAAGCGUUAUCCGGAUUUACUGGGUGUAAAGGGAGCGCAGGCGGUGCGGCAAGUCAGAUGUGAAAACCCGGGGCUCAACCCCGGGAUUGCAUUUGAAACUGUUGGCCUAGAGUACCGGAGAGGUAAGUGGAAUUCCUAGUGUAGCGGUGGAAUGCGUAGAUAUCGGGAGGAACACCAGUGGCGAAGGCGACCUACUGGGCACCAACUGACGCUGAGGCUCGAAAGCAUGGGUAGCAAACAGGAUUAGAUACCCUGGUAGUCCAUGCCGUAAACGAUGAUUACUAGGUGUUGGAGGAUUGACCCCUUCAGUGCCGCAGUUAACACAAUAAGUAAUCCACCUGGGGAGUACGACCGCAAGGUUGAAACUCAAAGGAAUUGACGGGGGCCCGCACAAGCAGUGGAGUAUGUGGUUUAAUUCGAAGCAACGCGAAGAACCUUACCAGGUCUUGACAUCCGAUGCAUAGUGCAGAGAUGCAUGAAGUCCUUCGGGACAUCGAGACAGGUGGUGCAUGGUUGUCGUCAGCUCGUGUCGUGAGAUGUUGGGUUAAGUCCCGCAACGAGCGCAACCCUUAUUGCCAGUUACUACGAAAGAGGACUCUGGCGAGACUGCCGUUGACAAAACGGAGGAAGGUGGGGAUGACGUCAAAUCAUCAUGCCCUUUAUGACCUGGGCUACACACGUACUACAAUGGCGUUUAACAAAGAGAAGCAAGACCGCGAGGUGGAGCAAAACUCAAAAACAACGUCUCAGUUCAGAUUGCAGGCUGCAACUCGCCUGCAUGAAGUCGGAAUUGCUAGUAAUCGCGGAUCAGCAUGCCGCGGUGAAUACGUUCCCGGGCCUUGUACACACCGCCCGUCA